AGGUAAGAACAGAACAUUCUUCUCCAUAACCACCAUUAAUAUCCGGAACACAUUACUCGCUCCUAUCAUGUUUCAUGUCUGCUCAGAGGGACCUUACAGUUUUUCCCUCUGCAGGCUCCACAUCUCUUGUCCUUGAGUUAGUGGGUGAAGACUAGCUGCUAUGAUACACUACACCCACUGAAAAGAAGUUGCAGCCCCCCUAUUUUUUUUAUGGGAUAUGCUCAGAGACAGCAGUACUGAGCAGUGUAAACUGUAAAUCCAGCAAUGGGGUGAGAUAGAACAUUUACCAGAGCAUUUAGCAGCUACUUGUGUCUGCCUUAGUAUCUCCCCCCUCCUCACCAUAGACUUCUCUGGAAAGCAGUAACAUGAUCUCUCAAUGAAGCUGUCUUUCAGCAAGAAUAUUGCAUUUUGGAGGGGAAGGGAGUCAGAAAAUGAGCCUGAUAAUUGGAAAAAGAAGCACAUUUCUCUAGUAAGGUAUAUUACAAUGUUUCUUAUAUUCACUUGUACUACUUGUUUAUGCAAAGUUUAUUGAAAUGUUAGCCACCACUGAAGUUUUAAACAAGUGGUUAUAUAAAAAAAAGUCACCCUGAUAAUAUAGGAGAACCUAGUGGGAUGCAAAGCAGACAUCAAAGUGGAAAUUCUACUGAGAAUAAGAAGAGUUUGUAUUCUGCACAACAAAUACUGCACAUUACGUGAUAUCCUAUUUAAAUAUGAAUACGCUUUGGUGCGAAUUCACUUACAGAAGUGGCUUAUAUGUUAUCAGAGUGGUUUUAUUAAUGUAAAUAAUUGUCUUAGCAGAGCCAGCAGAGAAUGCUUCCUGACUCCCCCCGACAAGGUCCCAAAUAUGAAUGUUAAGUGAUGAGUCAGUUAAGCAGCGUCUAUUUCUGGUCACAAGCCAAAAUAGAUAGGACAAUUGCUUUGUGAGGCAGUCAGAUAAAGAAACUGCAGCUCACCAGUGUUCCUAUGAUAACAGUCCAUUCAUAGCUGCAAAAAUAGACUCACACAGCAGGGUCCCCAGAGACAGUCCGCAGCACAAGAAUUUGUCUAAUUCAGGAGCUGAGCAACUGAACGCGCUGGUGACAGCAAUGUUGUGCGUCCAACAAGUUUCUGGGGUUACACUAAACUAUGUCACUUCUAUGUUUGUAUAGGACAUUAAAGCUGUUUACUCUAAGAGCGGGAUGGUAUCUUGUAUCUAUUGCGGAGGGGAAAGAAAGAAUAAAGAUGCCUCCAUGUUGAUGUUUUCCAGCAGAGAUUUGUUUUGGUGCCUCGGGCACGGAAAGAUAAGUGACAGUCACUCAAGGUCAGACGUGUGCAGGAAGUGACCCUGUUUCUCCCAUUUGACUCAUUGUUUCAAGAGUCCUUGUGUUUACAUUUCAGAACAAAAAACCUGAGAAAGCACAGCCCCGAAAGCCAUGACUAAAAACCACUAUCAUAAAGGCAACAUUGCAAAAUAGGGCCAAUCCUUGUCUGCAGCGAUGUACAGGUUACGUGAUUUAGUCAUUAACACAAUAUACUUUCUGUACAAAAACAUUAAAACAAAA
Hyla sarda is the source of this 1541-nucleotide long non-coding RNA. RefSeq lists it as uncharacterized. The transcript has 3 exons. The record is from RefSeq and is a predicted model, not a curated record. Lineage: Eukaryota; Metazoa; Chordata; Amphibia; Anura; Hylidae.